GCAAGUGUCGACCAUUUAACCGGCUAGGUUGAUUGAUUUCCUCUCGUGCCGCUUCCACUUUCACCGAGAAGCCGGUAAGAGGAGGCUUUUUCGCCCCACCCACACAAGCCGUGACGGAACUAGGUAACCGCAUUCUGACUUGAAGUAUCCGUUUCAUGGUUCAUUUUUACGCGCUAAUAUGACUACCUAUCGGAGCUUGUCAUCUGAUAAGAGCCAUCUCGUGACUCCAGAGCGCAUUUUUUUUUAAGGUUUUCGCUGGGGGCAUUCUUUGUGCCGGCGGAAAUGUUGCUUUCCUUCCGUCAAGAUCAUAUACAAUACAAGUGGACUUAUUACCAACUUCAUAGCAAUGCCAGUUGUGGAAGGGUAGCAGAUUUAUCAGUCCCUCCAGGAGUCAGGUGCCUGUUAUGAAUGAAAAUGGUAGGACAAGGUCAAGGGUCCGCUGAGCUGUACUUUUGAAUAUUUACCUUAUGGGA
RNAcentral lists this small RNA (473 nucleotides) under Histoplasma capsulatum var. duboisii H88. RNAcentral's name for it is "Histoplasma capsulatum H88 hypothetical RNA". Lineage: Eukaryota; Fungi; Ascomycota; Eurotiomycetes; Onygenales; Ajellomycetaceae. The record is from RNAcentral.